Long non-coding RNA from Bos taurus (domestic cattle), 1759 nucleotides. The record is from Ensembl. Lineage: Eukaryota; Metazoa; Chordata; Mammalia; Artiodactyla; Bovidae.
GUACAGCUUUUAAGGAUAACUGUGUGAACAUGAUGGGCAGCUGUGUGGUGCUGCCGGCAGCCUUGAGGUGCAGGGGCCCUGCCUCCCACUCCAGGGCAGCCUGCUGAAGCCCAUGGUUCCCAGCUGCCUGUUGGCUGGCCUAGAAGCUGUGGCCCCACUCUGCGAUUCUGGGUCUUGGCUGGAAGUUUCAGAAGCACACGCAGCAGUGACUUCCUCCUUGCGGUGGCGACUGGAUCAGCAACUGCCAGGACAGUAAUGAGAUCCCCCAAGAACGGUUGCUGGCAGCCCACUACCGCUGUUGCUGGGGGCUGAGGGUUGAGUGGGUCUGAGUGCUUGCCUGUGAGCAAUUCAGAGCCCCAAGAGAUUCCCAAAGAAACUGCUGCUCUGAGGUUAUUCAUCUGAUGGGAAGACGCUGGUGAGAAAAGACAACAUUUCUGAGACUCCAGAGACAUCCCUGGCCCUUUCUACUGUGCAAGGACAUAGUGAGAAGGUACCAGCUAUGAACCAAGAAGUGGGCCCUCACAAGAACCUGACCAUGCUGGCACUCUGAUCUUGGGUUUCCAGUUUCCAGAACUGUGAGAAAUAAAUUCCUGUUGUUAUAAGCAACAUUCCUUUGACAGACGAGAAAAUGGACCUACUGACUUUGUGACUUUCCUGAAGCCACAUAGAAGACGAGAUCUUAGUUCUCUUGGGCACAGAUCCAGGGCUCUUUCCAGCCUGCCCUACUCUGUCAGGAGUCAGAAAGGAGUGCAGGCUGACCUGCUCUCCUCAGAAACUUGCCUGCAGAGUCACAAAGUCUCCUCUCACAGAUUCAUCCCCUGUGAACACACAUUGCAGAAGGUGAUUCAGAAGUUUCAAGUCGAACAUCACAAAGUGGUUGUAAUUGAUGGAUAUCCAUAACCCACGAUGGUGGGUGGCUGUCCUUUUGUUUAUUCUUUCUAGUCUUUUAAGGCAAUGGCACCCCACUCCAGUACUCUUGCCUGGAAAAUCCCAUGGACGGAGGAGUCUGGUAGGCUGCAGUCCACGAGGUCGCUAGGAGUUGGACAUGACUGAAGUGACGUAGCAGCAGCAGCAGUCUUUUUAAUAUGUUAUUUUAUGUGUGCUUGUUUAGAUAUACAACUAAUAUAGGUUCAUUGAAGAACUAUUUGAAGAAACAGGUAAAACAAAAAGUUAAAAAUGAAAAUUCCCAUAAUCUCACUGUGACUAACAUUUUAGGGAUGUAUUACUCAUCUGUUGCUGCAUAAUAGAUUACCCCAAAACUUAGUGGUUUAAAACAAAAGAUGUUCAUCAUUUUGCCGUUUUUAUGGGUCAGGAAUUUGGGAGCAGCUUAGUUGAGCGGUUCUGGCUCAGGAGCUCUCAUAAGGUUGGAACCAUAUGAAUGAGAUUAACCUAGGGCUGGAGGAUCUGAUUCCAAGGUGACUCACUCACCAGUCUGUUGGCUGGAGGCCUUAGUUCCCCCGCACAUGGAUUCUCUGUAGGACUGCUUGAGUAUCUUCGCAGCAUGGCAACUGGCUUCUGCCCGAACAAGUGAUGCAAGGGGAAGAGCAAAGAGGAGGCUGCAGUAUCAUUUAUGACCUAGUCUUGAAAGUCACACCCUGUCCCUUCCACCACACUCUUAUUUGUUAGAAGAAAAUCACUAAGUCAAGUCCAUACUCAAGGGGAGAGGAUUUAACUUCCAACUCUUGAAAGAAAAAGAAUUUUUUUGGAAAAAGAACAAAGGACAUAUAUUAAAAAUAUCACAGAGAAUCUCUAGUCAUCA